RNAcentral lists this long non-coding RNA (1473 nucleotides) under Homo sapiens (human). RNAcentral describes it as "HSALNT0300847". Lineage: Eukaryota; Metazoa; Chordata; Mammalia; Primates; Hominidae. The record is from RNAcentral.
GUGGGGCAUGCUGGGACUUGUAGUUUCCCUCUGGGGGGGUCGCCUGAUUGGUUGUGAGAGUUCAGCGCCCUGGGUCCUGCGCCCUCCGUGGAAGCUCCUCCCAGCCUAAUGAUGGAGGCUGGGCAACCAGCACAGUGUUCAGGGUGCUGGGGUUCAUACGUAUUGAAAUCCCAGAGUAGUGGCGGACUUCCCCAUGGGAAUGUCUGAUGAGUACUUUGAAUCACAGAUCUCUGUACAGGCCCUGUUACAAAUGCCACUCCUCAGGGCAUUUCGUGUGUUUUCCUUUGAGGGCUCUUGGGACUUGUAAAUUCAGUUCAAUUCACCUUCUGAGGAAUGGGCCCUGACAAGCUGAAGUCUGAGGUGCUGCUGCUGCUGCAGAUCUGGGAACCACACUUUGAGAACCACUGAACAAGACAUUAUGUCAUUGGUCCCUAUUAAAAAAAAGAAAGCCAUCUUCAAAUGAUCUUCACACUGGCAGAGCCAUAAGCUGCGAUGGAACCUAACCUCUGUGCCCCUUCAAUGUGGAACAUGUGGUCAUCAAAGAAGAUGUGGGGCCGGAUCUUCACCAAGAUGGGACUUUUGGGGGCUCCAGCAAGGAAAAGAGCUUCGUCUAUCUCUAGACCCCAGCGUCGAAGGGUCUUCAGCACACGGGCGCCUGAACUGGCUGCACUCCUAGCUGUAACCAGGUAGGUCCUGAUAGGACAAAGUAACCGUUCAUUUUUGGCAUAGAACUUCUUUUGCAGUCUGCCUAAAUCUUCCAGAAAGCCUUUUAGGGGACCCUGUAAAAGGAACAUAUAUCACAGCUGUGAUACAGUGAGCCAAAGAAAGUGAAUGCUAAAAAGCAGAGACCUAUAUGAUACGAUACAAUACAAAGGAUAUAAUACAGCAUGACAUGCAGUGUUAUGAAGCUGAUGGCAAAAUGCUAAAACUUGAUAGGAAUUUAUGUGAAUAUGUUUUCUGAUAUAGAACCAUCCUUGCAUUCCUGGAAUGUGCCUAAAAUGACCAUAUUAUUUAACAUGUAAACCUAUAUACUUUAGGUAUGAAAGAAUGUUCAAUAAAUACUUAAGCCAGGACAACAGACAUAAACUAUCCAUGGUAAGCUGGAAUAGAGGGUCACUCUAAAUAAACUCUAAUUAGUUACCAAAGCACUACUCUUUUAAUUUGCUUUUUGUGAAUUGUGCAUUUUAACUUUAUGAAGUAUAUGCUUUUGUCUAGUUUAAUGCUGUUUGGCUUGAAUCUAACUGUGUCUUUCAUUUUUAACCUUUCCAAACACUUGGUUUUAGUAUCUCUUGUACAGAGCCUAGAAUUGGAUUUUGCUAUGUGAUACAACCUGAAAAUCUUAUUUUUUAAAACAAUAGUUAAGUUUUUGUUCAUUUACAUUUAUUCAUAUUACAAACAUACUUGAGAUUGUUUCUGUCUUAUGGUUUUUAUUGCAUUUUCCAUGUUUUAAAAUUUUUAAAGGAUUGUUCAAUA